GGUUGUGUAGUGUAGCGGUUAUCACUCCGGAUUCUGAUUCUCAUCAGGAGCUUUCCGGCAACCCCGGUUCGAUUCCGGGCACGACCU
This is a non-coding RNA of Kalmusia sp. IMI 367209, 87 nucleotides long. The record is from the annotation of a GenBank genome assembly. NCBI's taxonomy places the organism in Eukaryota, Fungi, Ascomycota, Dothideomycetes, Pleosporales, Didymosphaeriaceae.